GAGUUUGAUCAUGGCUCAGAACGUACGCUGGCGGCACGCCUAACACAUGCAAGUCGAACGAAGUAGCAAUACUUAGUGGCAGACGGGUGAGUAACAUGUAGGUAUCUGCCCUUUGGCCUGGAAUAACACGAGGAAACUUGUGCUAAUACCGGAUAAGUCUUUACGGAGAAAGCUUUAUGCACCAUUGGAUGAGCCUGCACUUGAUUAGUUUGUUGGUGGGGUAAUGGCCUACCAAGACUGUGAUCAAUAGCUGAUUUGAGAGGAUGAUCAGCCACAUUGGGACUGAGACACGGCCCAAACUCCUACGGGAGGCAGCAGUGGGGAAUCUUGCACAAUGGAGGAAACUCUGAUGCAGCGAUGCCGCGUGAGUGAAGAAGGCCCUUGGGUUGUAAAGCUCUUUCGUCGGGGAAGAAAAUGACUGUACCCGAAUAAGAAGGUCCGGCUAACUUCGUGCCAGCAGCCGCGGUAAUACGAAGGGACCUAGCGUAGUUCGGAAUUACUGGGCUUAAAGAGUUCGUAGGUGGUUGAAAAAGUUAGUGGUGAAAUCCCAGAGCUUAACUCUGGAACUGCCAUUAAAACUUUUCAGCUAGAGUAUGAUAGAGGAAAGCAGAAUUUCUAGUGUAGAGGUGAAAUUCGUAGAUAUUAGAAAGAAUACCAAUUGCGAAGGCAGCUUUCUGGAUCAUUACUGACACUGAGGAACGAAAGCAUGGGUAGCGAAGAGGAUUAGAUACCCUCGUAGUCCAUGCCGUAAACGAUGUGUGUUAGACGUUGGAAAUUUAUUUUCAGUGUCGCAGGGAAACCGAUAAACACACCGCCUGGGGAGUACGACCGCAAGGUUAAAACUCAAAUGAAUUGACGGGGACCCGCACAAGUAGUGGAGCAUGUGGUUUAAUUCGAAGAUACGCGCAGAACCUUACCAACACUUGACAUGUUCGUCGCGACUCUAAGAGAUUAGAGUUUUCGGUUCGGCCGGACGAAACACAGGUGCUGCAUGGCUGUCGUCAGCUCGUGUCAUGAGAUGUUGGGUUAAGUCCCGCAACGAGCGCAACCCUCACUUUUAGUUGCCAUCAUUAAGUUGGGCACUCUGAAAGAACUGCCAGUGAUAAGCUGGAGGAAGGUGGGGAUGACGUCAAGUCCUCAUGGCCCUUACGUGUUGGGCUACACACGUGCUACAAUGGUAUCUACAACAGGAAGCAAGACUGCGAAGUUAAGCAAAUCCCUAAAAGAUACCUCAGUUCGGAUUGCACUCUGCAACUCGAGUGCAUGAAGCUGGAAUUACUAGUAAUCGUGGAUCAGCGUGCCACGGUGAAUGCGUUCCCGGGUCUUGUACACACCGCCCGUCACACCAUGGGAGUUGGUUCUACCUUAAGGCAAGGUUUCAAACCCUUGACCACGGUAUAGUCAGCGACUGGGGUGAAGUCGUAACAAGGUAACC
This 1435-nucleotide ribosomal RNA is filed under the name uncultured marine bacterium. Its description in RNAcentral is "bacterial SSU rRNA". It matches the Rfam family "Bacterial small subunit ribosomal RNA". The record is from RNAcentral.